GACGAACGCUGGUGGCGUGCUUAACACAUGCAAGUCGAACGGGAUUUAGUAAACAGAAGCCUCGGUGGAAGAUUACUAAUGAGAGUGGCGAACGGGUGAGUAACGCGUGAGCAACCUGCCUAUGACAGUGGGAUAGCCUCGGGAAACCGGGAUUAAUACCGCAUAAAAUCGUAGAAACACAUGUUUUAACGGUCAAAGAUUUAUCGGUCAUAGAUGGGCUCGCGUCUGAUUAGCUAGUUGGUGAGAUAACAGCCCACCAAGGCGACGAUCAGUAGCCGGUCUGAGAGGAUGAACGGCCACAUUGGAACUGAGACACGGUCCAAACUCCUACGGGAGGCCGCAGUGGGGAAUAUUGCACAAUGGGGGAAACCCUGAUGCAGCGACGCCGCGUGAACGAAGAAGGUAUUCGUAUCGUAAAGUUCUGUCCUAUGGGAAGAUAAUGACAGUACCAUAGAAGAAAGCUCCGGCUAAAUACGUG
RNAcentral lists this ribosomal RNA (478 nucleotides) under uncultured bacterium. Its description in RNAcentral is "partial 16S ribosomal RNA". It matches the Rfam family "Bacterial small subunit ribosomal RNA", at positions 28 to 507 of the family's 1533-position model. The record is from RNAcentral.